This 1071-nucleotide long non-coding RNA is filed under the name Homo sapiens (human). RNAcentral describes it as "HSALNT0370076". Lineage: Eukaryota; Metazoa; Chordata; Mammalia; Primates; Hominidae. The record is from RNAcentral.
AAACGGCGGCGAGCGCGCGCGGCAACCGCCAAACGCCCGCCUUUGUAGCCCCGGCCCCGCGUCCUUACCCUGCCGACGGCUGCUCGGCUCCGGCCCGCGGCGGCGGCCCCAGAGCCGAGGACCGGGGUGGGCUCGCGCUCUUCGUCACUGGAGAAGUCCGGGGGCCCCUUGCUGUUGGUGCCGGCGGGGAGCGGCGGCCGGUUGCGAGCCGUGAGGUGCUGCAGGACCGAGGGGUCUUCCAGGAACUCCGGCAUCUCGGGGAUCUGCGAAGCCCCCUCCCCACAGCCUUUGCCGCCGCCGCUCACGCCGGCGCGCUUGCUCCUGGCCGGGGACCGCGCUGCCGCCUCCGAGCCUCACGGCUCCUGCCCGGGAAGAGCGCUGCGGAGCGGAACAAAAACUCGCGGACACAAAGCCAAGCCAGACCCGGACACAAAAGACCCCAGAGCCGAACUACGAACCAACUGCGGCCAAGCUGGAAGCUCGCACCAACCCCAGCCCACACACUACAGGCAGGAGGCGAGCAGCCUGCUUCGCCCACGCCCCAAGAACGCGCGCCGCCAUUGGCGGGCGACGGGAGGAAGCGCGGCGGUGAUUGGCGAGACGGCUCGCGCGGGUUCCAUUAGCCGCCGCGCUGAGCGAGAGGAGACGCCGAUAAGGGACAGGUCGUACUGCUUUUGUGCGCCGUUUCCUCUCCCUCCCCCAGCUUGAGAAGCAGCUUUCGUCUCUGGGGUCGAUCGCCUACGAACGCGCCGAAUUCCACGCCAGUGUGAGGACCCUUGGCUGGGCCUUUCUUCCUCCCGGGACACUGAAGCUCCAAGAGUAGCCGCAGCCUUGCCUUCCCCAAACGCUAGCCCUGAAGGGGAAGAAAAGAAGCGAGGCUUGUCUGCAGGCACUCAUAUUCCUUGAUUUGAUUUACUUUGGGAGGGGGAGGGCGGGGAGUUACCCCUCUCCUCGCGAACGCUUCUUUUGUUCCAGAAACCCAGGGGAAGCCAGACCUCUACAAUCGGGCACUUAAAUUACCCUUGAAUUUGUGACAAAAGUGUACUAUACCAUUCACUUCUUAGUGUCAUA